This 490-nucleotide ribosomal RNA is filed under the name uncultured bacterium. Its description in RNAcentral is "partial 16S ribosomal RNA". It matches the Rfam family "Bacterial small subunit ribosomal RNA", at positions 30 to 507 of the family's 1533-position model. The record is from RNAcentral.
AUUGAACGCUGGCGGCAGGCCUAACACAUGCAAGUCGAACGGUAACAGGAAGAAUCUUGCUUCUUUGCUGACGAGUGGCGGACGUGUGAGUAAUGUCUGGGAAACUGCCUGAUGGAGGGGGAUAACUACUGGAAACGGUAGCUAAUACCGCAUAACGUCGCAAGACCAAAGAGGUGGACCUUCGGGCCUCUUGCCAUCGGAUGUGCCCAGAUGGGAUUAGCUAGUAGGUGGGGUAACGGCUCACCUAGGCGACGAUCCCUAGCUGGUCUGAGAGGAUGACCAGCCACACUGGAACUGAGACACGGUCCAGACUCCUACGGGAGGCAGCAGUGGGGAAUAUUGCACAAUGGGCGCAAGCCUGAUGCAGCCAUGCCGCGUGUAUGAAGAAGGCCUUCGGGUUGUAAAGUACUUUCAGCGGGGAGGAAGGGAGUAAAGUUAAUACCUUUGCUCAUUGACGUUACCCGCAGAAGAAGCACCGGCUAACUCCGUG